Molecule: small RNA, 327 nt
Filed under: Histoplasma ohiense
Lineage: Eukaryota; Fungi; Ascomycota; Eurotiomycetes; Onygenales; Ajellomycetaceae
Description: hypothetical lncRNA
Source: RNAcentral
UUACACGUGACAAAUUGCAAGGUGAAUCAUCGGAUGCAGCGUCCAUGGAAUCCUCACACGGGUUACCGGGAGGAUACGCUGCUCCGGGAGCAUGGCAGUUGUGCCACGCUGGUCCGUUGCGGUUUUGGAAAUCUAGGUCCAAUUGGUAGUUAAGGCACAUCUUCUACAUCUUCUAGGGCGCUUUUUUUUUUUUCCCUGGAUGUAAAAGAGGCGUGUGUUUACAUUGCUAUGCAGCGGAUUCAUGAGUGUGCAGUGUGGCUGAUCGAGUUUUGUUCCAUUCAAAUUGGGGGGGAGCAGCAUUGGUAUGGAGGGUUCUCCCCACCGCGC